AGUUUUGUAGUGUAGUAGCACGCCAGAUUGCAAACCUGGGGGCGCAGAAUAACCCCUGCCAAAACUU
This 67-nucleotide transfer RNA is filed under the name Gymnothorax fimbriatus (fimbriated moray). Its description in RNAcentral is "tRNA-Cys". It matches the Rfam family "tRNA". From Rfam's summary of the family: Transfer RNA (tRNA) molecules are approximately 80 nucleotides in length. Lineage: Eukaryota; Metazoa; Chordata; Actinopteri; Anguilliformes; Muraenidae. The record is from RNAcentral.